UGUGGUUCUUUUUGCCAUUCAUGGCCCAGAGGAUGACAUGCCUUCCCUCCUGAUCUUGAGAGUCAAAUGUGCAAAGAAUUUCAGAGGGCCCAGCUGAAUUACCUGAGUGGUUUGACCCACCGAAAAGCCAAGUGUUAUUCCAAUUUGUCGAAGUCAAAGGGAUCUUCAUACAGGGAGCACAGACCUGAACCCCAAAGAGGGAC
This 203-nucleotide long non-coding RNA is filed under the name Fukomys damarensis (Damara mole-rat). Its description in RNAcentral is "lncRNA (ENSFDAG00000030223.1)". The record is from RNAcentral. Lineage: Eukaryota; Metazoa; Chordata; Mammalia; Rodentia; Bathyergidae.